RNAcentral lists this long non-coding RNA (265 nucleotides) under Anas platyrhynchos platyrhynchos (common mallard). Its description in RNAcentral is "lncRNA (ENSAPLG00000020788.1)". Lineage: Eukaryota; Metazoa; Chordata; Aves; Anseriformes; Anatidae. The record is from RNAcentral.
CCUACCGUGUGGCUGCCUCCCGAUGUUGUUUAGUACCUGCACAGCUUGCUUUUCUCCACCAGGGAGGGAUCUCCUGGUGUUAGCUGCCUGCUUCCCUGCCAGUUUACAAGCAUGUCAUCAACCACAGCAACUCAAUAGCUUCAUUCUGUGACUGGCAGGCUCAAAAUGACUGGACCUGUAAAAGUCUUGACAGCAAACAGCUAAAAGAUUUCUUUACGACUUCAGAAGGUUUGUAAAAAAUAAAUAAAUAAAAAAUUGUGAUCCA